UUUGAAAGGUAAUAAAAGCGUAACAAGGUUUCCGUAGGUGAACCUGCGGAAGGAUCAUUACAGUAUUCUUUUUGCCAGCGCUUAAUUGCGCGGCGAAAAAACCUUACACACAGUGUUUUUUGUUAUUACAAGAACUCUUGCUUUGGUCUGGACUAGAAAUAGUUUGGGCCAGAGGUUUACUAAACUAAACUUCAAUAUUUAUAUUGAAUUGUUAUUUAUUUUAAUUGUCAAUUUGUUGAUUAAAUUCAAAAAAUCUUCAAAACUUUCAACAACGGAUCUCUUGGUUCUCGCAUCGAUGAAGAACGCAGCGAAAUGCGAUAAGUAAUAUGAAUUGCAGAUUUUCGUGAAUCAUCGAAUCUUUGAACGCACAUUGCGCCCUUUGGUAUUCCAAAGGGCAUGCCUGUUUGAGCGUCAUUUCUCUCUCAAACCUUCGGGUUUGGUAUUGAGUGAUACUCUUAGUCGAACUAGGCGUUUGCUUGAAAUGUAUUGGCAUGAGUGGUACUGGAUAGUGCUAUAUGACUUUCAAUGUAUUAGGUUUAUCCAACUCGUUGAAUAGUUUAAUGGUAUAUUUCUCGGUAUUCUAGGCUCGGCCUUACAAUAUAACAAACAAGUUUGACCUCAAAUCAGGUAGGACUACCCGCUGAACUUAAGCAUAUCAUA
RNAcentral lists this ribosomal RNA (660 nucleotides) under Debaryomyces hansenii. RNAcentral's name for it is "eukaryotic LSU rRNA". The stretch from base 261 to 414 matches the Rfam family "5.8S ribosomal RNA". The record is from RNAcentral. Lineage: Eukaryota; Fungi; Ascomycota; Pichiomycetes; Serinales; Debaryomycetaceae.